This is a non-coding RNA of Schizosaccharomyces pombe (fission yeast), 348 nucleotides long. The record is from the annotation of a GenBank genome assembly. Lineage: Eukaryota; Fungi; Ascomycota; Schizosaccharomycetes; Schizosaccharomycetales; Schizosaccharomycetaceae.
UUAGACUUAGAUUUAAAAAAAGAAAAAAAGUAUGUUCUAUAUGAAUUAUCGACUGCUAUAGGCAAAGUAAAUGAGAUUUACACUAGAGAUGUCAAUGCUGCGAUUUUGAAAUUAAAGAAAUAUCGGAUAUCAAACGAAUACCAUAAAUUCAUUUAGGGCGAUAUAAUUCUUCUUUGUUAUUCGUUUUUAUAUGUAAGCUACGCAGUUUGGUAUCUGAUUUAAGGAUACGUAGAACUGCGGUGAGUUUUCCUUGUGAUCUAUUAUAUUACAAUACACAGGUUGUAUAAGUAGCAACUGAGUAUAGGUAUUGUAUUAACUGGGUUAUAAUGUUACCUAUCACUAAUAUAG